RNAcentral lists this ribosomal RNA (494 nucleotides) under uncultured Lachnospiraceae bacterium. RNAcentral describes it as "partial 16S ribosomal RNA". Lineage: Bacteria; Bacillati; Bacillota; Clostridia; Lachnospirales; Lachnospiraceae. The record is from RNAcentral.
CACCGUAAGGUUAGCCGGGGCUUCGGUUAGUCGAGGUACCGUCAUUUUCUUCCCUGCUGAUAGAGCUUUACAUACCGAAAUACUUCUUCACUCACGCGGCGUCGCUGCAUCAGGGUUCCCCCCAUUGUGCAAUAUUCCCCACUGCUGCCUCCCGUAGGAGUCUGGGCCGUGUCUCAGUCCCAAUGUGGCCGUCCACCCUCUCAGGCCGGCUACUGAUCGUCGCCUUGGUGGGCCGCUGCCCCGCCAACAAGCUAAUCAGACGCGGGCCCAUCGCAUACCACCGGAGUUUUUCACACCAAGCCAUGCGGCUCUGUGCGCUUAUGCGGUAUUAGCACCUAUUUCUAAGUGUUAUCCCCCGGUAUGCGGCAGGUUGCCCACGCGUUACUCACCCGUCCGCCACUAGGGCAGGAUUCACUAGGUUUCCUCCUGCCCCCGUUCGACUUGCAUGUGUUAAGCACGCCGCCAGCGUUCAUCCUGAGCCAGGAUCAAACUCU